This 89-nucleotide transfer RNA is filed under the name Candidatus Liptonbacteria bacterium. Its description in RNAcentral is "tRNA-Ser". It matches the Rfam family "tRNA". Rfam says of the family: Transfer RNA (tRNA) molecules are approximately 80 nucleotides in length. Their secondary structure includes four short double-helical elements and three loops (D, anti-codon, and T loops). Further hydrogen bonds mediate the characteristic L-shaped molecular structure. tRNAs have two regions of fundamental functional importance: the anti-codon, which is responsible for specific mRNA codon recognition, and the 3' end, to which the tRNAs corresponding amino acid is attached (by aminoacyl-tRNA synthetases). tRNAs cope with the degeneracy of the genetic code in two manners: having more than one tRNA (with a specific anti-codon) for a particular amino acid; and 'wobble' base-pairing, i.e. permitting non-standard base-pairing at the 3rd anti-codon position. The record is from RNAcentral. Lineage: Bacteria; Candidatus Liptoniibacteriota.
GGAGGCGUGUCUGAGUGGCUUAAAGAAGCGGUUUGCUAAACCGUUGUACGGGUAAAACCGUACCGAAGGUUCGAAUCCUUCCGCCUCCG